GGGCGCAGUGGGAGCAGAGGCGGCGGGCGGCUGCGCCCCCACAAAGGCGCGUCUCUGGCCGAGGCUGGCGGCGGGGCGCCGCGGGCAAAGCUGAGGCUUUGACCUGGGCGCACGCUGGAAACGCCCGCCUCAUCGUCGCUGGAUAUACCCACCACGUUACCCAGGCUGGGGCCAUCUGGGCAGGGACACCAGCCUCGGCGAAGACCUUGGGCGACUUCAAAGCGCAGGCACCUCGAUUCCCCGAAUCUAUGUUGUGUGGCGGGUAUCGGUGUUCCCCUGGUUUAACUAGCCUGUUUGAAGGCGCAGAUCCUUCUUGGGGAAGUCUCACUGAAACCAGGUCUCCCUGCUCUCCCAGGGGCUUCGGUUUUCCCAGUCUGCCUCUGCUUGUGACUCCAGAAAGACAAACUUCCGAUUGGCCAAGAGAAUCCACACUUCUUGGUUUCCACUGGGCCCAAUGUAAAUGCCAUCUCCUCCAGGAAGCUUUUCCAGCAACCAGGGCUAGAGGCGGAAGGACCCUGUCAUCCCAAAGGUAGCAGACCUUCAUCGCCAAGGCUUCAGGGAAGGCUCCCUGGCUGGACAGCGCGCGCGAGGGCUCUGUGUCGCCGGUGUGGGAUGGAGAGGGGGAGACCUAGCCCGGCCUGGCCUCCCCUGGGCCCUCAGCCUCCCGAGCUCCAGAGCUGGCGUGGCGGGCUCCGGCUCCCUCCCGCUGGUUUCUCUAAGCCUGGUUUGCGCAUCUGACCAAUGGGGCAGCGACGCCGGCCGCGGGGCGCGCGGCAGAUAGGUGAGAUCAAGGCGCACACGGGGCUGGAUGCCCGACACACCCGGGCUGCGCGCAAUAAACGUGUGUGUCUUUUCCUGCCUCUCGCGUUUCUCGCCCUCUCUUCCAGCUACCGGGACCUGGCCGGACAGCCGAGGGCCGGGUGGCAUCGGAGGGCGCUUCCGGAGUUCAGGCCGCAGCCUCAGGGGUGUCACGGCGCGGGGCCGCACGCAAUGGAGACCUGCUCGGCUCCGGGGCUUUUCGCCCCCGGCAGGCAGGAAGGGGUUAACGGAGCCCCUCCCCCGCCCGCGCCAGAGUCCCCCGCGCUUUCCUCCCGAGGUCUCAUUAGGGAACCCUCCCCGCUAUUUUCAACAUUUCCUCAAUCAAGGCCCUUUAAAUAGAGCUGCGCAAACAAAUUGGCGGCAAAAGCGUAGAUCUUGUCACGAUUGAGACCAAUCCAAUAUUUCAGCCUUGUUUGCUUUGCAAUUACGGGUAGGCUUGUGGCUGCGAUGCCACCGGGGCAAAUCUGCCGCCGCCCGCUUUCUCUAUGGACCUGGCGGUGGAGGAAAGAUCCUCGGAGCCGCCGCGGGGAGGGGAGGGGGCGUCGCGGCCGGGAACGGGGAGGAGAGAGCGGGCGGGGAGGGGACCCGGGCGGCCGAGGCUUUCCAGCACCCGGUGCCAGGAGCGCGGAGCGUAGUUAAAGGGCUUCAUCCUGGCCAGCGGCCGGCGUGCCCACAGUAGUGAUACACUGUGCGGUGCUCAUGUGGAGCCCUUGGUGUACCUCUCCCCAGCUUCCUUUCUUCCCUUUUCCACCCAAUGAUGCCCUUUCUCUCCAGCAUUGGUUAGCCAUUCCCGGAUUCUCUCUCUGUCUCUCUCUCUCUGUCUCUCUCUCUCGAUGGUAAACCUGUUAGCACGCUGUUCUGUUUUCUGUGGCUGCUUACUCUUGUUUGACGUUUUGUACAAAGUCACUUCAAAUCGGCUGCAGGAGGAAUAAAACUCCAAGCCCUUGGGCUGGGCUCCCUCGGGUGUGCGGCCGCUCCAGUCCUCCAGUAACCCGCGGGCCACCUUCGCAAGUGGCAGCGCCCGGCGAGUUCGGCCACCACAGGCCAGCCUCGUUGGAGUCGGCAGAACAGUAGUUAACUUGAAUAAGGUCCUAAGUCUUAUAUUUCACAGACAAUUAAAUCUUGGCUGCUGUUUAACAAAAUUGUAAUAUUUACUGUGCUCCAUACCGAGGAGCACUUUUAAAGUCGAAAACAAAUACUACAUUUUAAAAAGAAAAAUAUGAUAAUAAAUCUCUUUUUAUGGAUUCUCUCUGCAUAAGAGGGAAACAACAUGAUUUAACUCCUCGACACCCCCACCUCCUUUCAGGCGCAGCUGAAGUUACACAGUUACCGUCUUUUAACCCACAUUCUCUGUGUCUGGUGGGUGGGGGGGGAGGCACCUGCAUUUGUUACGUUCCAGUUUCCAAGAUUUCACACCCCACCCUGACCCUUGUAACUGAAUGCAACAAGGAUUAUAAUAUAAUUAGGUCUGGGAUGUGAGGCCCAUUUCCAUGUGGAUUCAAAAAACGUGGGCAUGAUGGGCAAUUAAUUUAUAGUUUCAUAUUACUUUAUAAAUGACUACCCAUUUUCUUCUCAUGUCCAGGUGGGACGGUUGAGGCAGAGAAAUAUUUUUAAAAGUCUCUAGGGUAUAUAUUAAAAUAUGCUUCUUUAUUAUUCAAAAAUGAAUAAGGUGUGGACCUACGUUUGUUUGCCGGUGGUUAUAAAAGAAAUGCCUAGCUGUUCUUGCCAAGUAGCAAUCUCUUUUAUGCUUUAUUUAUUUAUUUAUUUAUUGGUUUAUAAUCCCACCUUCGCUCUUCUGGAUUGUCUUCCUGUUGUCAUGUUUUGGUUCUCAAUUUUACUUAAAGAAAACCCCAGAAGUGGUGGUUUCCUAAAAUUGUGUGAUGACAAAGCCACAGAAUAAUAUUUCAGAUCCAUGAGUCAUGCACAACCAUGCGUAUUGCUCAUGCAGUUUCCUAGCCGAUUGCUAUAGUAUUUCUACAAGAAUAGAAAGCAGUAGCUAGAAAGGGUACCAUUUCGUAAGAAUUCUCUCUUCACCCAAAUAAUUAGUCUGACGUAUUGUUCAAUGCAGAAAUUGUAUUACUUUCAUGUGUGUUAAUCUGUUUAGUAUUAAAACUGCUAGAAUGUUUUAACCAUUAACAUGUUUUGCCACACCACUUUCAAAUGCGUGAUCUCAGAUAAUUACGAAGAUUUUGAUGUUAAUCCCAUGUUAAGUGAACAACUAUGAAAAUACCCUGAAAGCAUUAUUAUGCUUAUAUAAAUGCCAGCAAACACAAUUGUACAAAGAACACAGAUUUCUUUUUAUCUGACAUUAUCCUAUAGGGAUAUGCAUUCAUUUCUUUCAAAAUUAGAGCAGUUUUCUAUUACUUUUUAACAGAUUUUUUUCCAACACAGCAUUUUGCCAUGACUAUAAACCACAACAACUUUGUUACUGACAGAUAGAUAUUUUUCUUUCAUUGUUAUUCAUUAGCUUCUUUGCAAACUCACUAAAAUAGAAUAAUAUACAAAAAUAUCAAAAUAAAGAGAAUAACUAUUAGGGUCUACAUAUUUAUUUAGGUAGGCUAAUGUUAUUAAAAUUAAAAACAUGUGCCUGGCAUAUAAAUGUUACGUUAAGAAUUCUUUUUUGGAUGCAGAGUUAUUAUUUAAACCAACUCAGAAUUUUCAAGUACUGAUUUUUCCCUCUAAACAGGCAUUGCAUUGUUUUAAACAGUAGCUCCUGGAACCACCCUUAGUAUUUUAGACUUCCAAACAACAAUUGCAAUUGAAUAAAUACCUUCAGCUGGGAGCACUUCCCUAAUACCUUUGCAGGAAAUAAGAGUCCCUGCUUCUACUGGGUGACAAAGAGGCAGUGCACUUGUGCAAGGGCAGAACUUACCAAAAAAUGGAGUUUUCCUUUAAGAUUGCUAUGGUCCAUCUAAAAAAAAAUAGUGAAGAUGUGAAAUCAGAGAAAAUGAGUAAGUGCUUUUUUCUCAUUACAGUUGUGAAACGAUGGCUUAAGGAGGGAUGCAAAAUAAGAGCCAGGAGGCAUGCAGUAACAUAAAAUCUGAAAAAGAAAGUUUUCUCAAGCAGGCUCUGGCUCUUGGUCUAUAAAUAGGAGAGGGAUGUAUUGGAUCUGCAUAACCCAUUUUCUUUUCUUUUUUCAUUUUUUUUUCAAUUCAGUGACUCCCCCCCCCUUCUUUUCUUUUUCUUUUUUUCUGCACUCAUUGCCAUUCAGGGAACAGAAGUUCCUCGGCCAGGGAUCGAACCCAUGCUAUGGCUGUAACCAGAGCCACAGCAGUGACAUGCCAGAUCCUUAACCUGCCGAGCCACGAGUAAUUUUUAAAAGAGAUUUUUCACUGGGUGAGGAAGCCCUAUCAAGGAAAUAUAUGUGAAUUCUGACAUAUGGAGAAAAACUAGCUACCUUGAUUUUUAAUAUUUGAUUAAAAUAUUAAGCCACUAUACUAUUGUUCUUUCUAAAUGAAGGCAUGUUGUCACAACUGGUGUCAAAAAGCAUUGGUUUCACCCCCCCAAAAUUGUUGUUAAAGUAAUAAAGUUAUAUCCAUGAAAUGAUUUCCAUGAAUCCCAACUUGCUGCAAAAAGGUGAAAAAAACUUUUCUGGAAGAAAGCAGGCAACUUUGUUAUUGGUCUGGGAUAAAUAAAGCAAGAAACUGCCUCUUAUAUUCAUAGUAAUUCAUUCUGCUUUUUCAAACAUUGUUCUUGUUAUCUUGUGCUAUUCAAGUAAUGCUGGUGUCAGCAAUAAAAAAA
This 4560-nucleotide long non-coding RNA is filed under the name Sus scrofa (pig). RNAcentral describes it as "lncRNA (ENSSSCG00025010689.1)". The record is from RNAcentral. Lineage: Eukaryota; Metazoa; Chordata; Mammalia; Artiodactyla; Suidae.